AUUGAACGCUGGCGGCAGGCCUAACACAUGCAAGUCGAGCGAGCGGCGGACGGGUGAGUAAUGUAUGGGGAUCUGCCCGAUAGAGGGGGAUAACUACUGGACACGGUGGCUAAUACCGCAUACUAUCGGAUGAACCCAGCUGGGAUUAGCUUGUGGGUGGGGUAAAGGCUCACCGAGGCGACGAUCUCUAGAUGGUCUGAGAGGAUGACCAGCCACACUGGUACUGAGACACGGCCCAAAAUCCUACGGGAGGCAGCAGUGGGGAAUAUUGCACAAGGGGCGCAAGCCUGAUGCAGCCAUGCCGCGGGUAGGAAGAAGGCCUUAGGGUUAUAAAGUACUUUCAGCGGGGAGGCGUUACCCGCAGAAGAAGCACCGGCUAACUCCGUGCCAGCAGCCGCGGUAAUAC
This 406-nucleotide ribosomal RNA is filed under the name uncultured bacterium. Its description in RNAcentral is "partial 16S ribosomal RNA". It matches the Rfam family "Bacterial small subunit ribosomal RNA", at positions 29 to 526 of the family's 1533-position model. The record is from RNAcentral.